Molecule: long non-coding RNA, 1526 nt
Organism: Galeopterus variegatus (Sunda flying lemur)
Lineage: Eukaryota; Metazoa; Chordata; Mammalia; Dermoptera; Cynocephalidae
Exons: 2
Source: RefSeq, a predicted model, not a curated record
GAACCAGCCUGGAAGUACCACAGGAUGCCGAGGCCACGUCUGCCUCUUCCCAAGCCGGGCCCCUUGCCAGCCCCAGGGGCUGAGGGGACAUGGCUGCCCUGUUCCCAGAGAGCCAAGGUGCCUCGGGAGGCCUGGUCACCCGUGGCUGAUGGAAGUGGCCAUUGCAGCAGCCCCACACACAAGACGGGACCCUGCCCAUGGGGACUACCGCAGAAGCAGGAGGAGGCUCCUGCGGGGGGAGGGCAGAUGCCGCCCAGACGCUGACCCCGAGCCCUUCCACUGCUGUCAGAAGCUCCUCUGUGACCCCUCCCUGGCAGUGGGGCGGGCCUCGGGAGCUGCUCCGCUGCAGGCUCCUGUCUCCUCCCGGCCUGUUCCUCCUUCGCUGAGCCCUGAACUGCUCGUCCAGCCUCCCAGGUCUCCUUCCCCUUUCUCUGAUGGGAAGGCUGUGGCUGGCCCCACACCAGGCCCACUCCUGGGGAUGCUGCCUUCCUCCACGGCCCUCCCACCGCCAGGCGCCUGACCUUGGUCUCCGGGGCCCUCCAUUCCCAGCAGACAAAGCCAUCCUGGACCCUGCCUGGGGACCCCCUCCCCAUUCACCCCACCCACUGUUCCGUCCAAGAGCUCCCCUCCCAGGUGCCACUCCCCUGAUCAAGGACCUUCCGGGGCAUACUGCCCAGCAAAAGCUCAAAGGCCCUGCUUCCUGGCAGGGCCCUCAGGCUGAAGGAGUCUGGUGGGAAGACAGCGGCAGACCGUGAGAGGCAGAGUGUGUGCAUCGGGAAUGCCCAGCAGCUGGACUGGGACAGGGGAAGUCGAGUCUCCCCUGGGGGGGUGGCCAGUCCUACAGAUGGCUGGGUUGAGGCCGACUGCGCAGGGUGGGCCCAGGAAGUACUAGGUUCGCCAGCACACAGGAGCCCUCUCAACCCGCUUGAGAGACCCGCGCUGAGCGGUCACAUCUGUUCUCGAGGUCUAAGAUCUAUGACUAAUCCAACAGCAACAAGAGCUGACAUCCAGACUGUGGCAUCCUGAGAGGACGAGGGGCUCCUCAGAGAACUGGACGCUGUCAGGUCUGGGUCAGGAAAUGCGUAAGAUGAGCCCAGAAUGCCCCUUCUUGCUAGAGACCAAAGUCACCAUCGAAGACCAUCGGGCGGUGUGGAAGGGACUCGGGAGUCAGUCAAGUGGGCUGCCCCUGGACCGGGAUGGGAUGACCUGCACAUCCGCAAGGAUAAUAAUUUUAACUAGUUGGAACGUAAAAAAUGUUCAAAUCCAUUCAUUUGUAAUUAUACUUUUGAGAUGUAUGAAAACAGCUCAUUAUUUUAAAAACUAGUAAACAAAGGGAAAGAAUCAAGUACUGAUCUUGCCUUUCCUAUACAAAUCAUACCUCAACAGGACCAAAGAGUUAGGGAGGGAAGCUUCUCUUGGUAGAUAUAUCUCAGCUAACAGUGACGAAGGAAGAGAGAAUUUGAACGUCUCUACUUUGCAAACCCUCAUGAACUAAUAAAGCCAGCAUUGCUGCUGCUGUCCCGUUA